This 253-nucleotide ribosomal RNA is filed under the name uncultured bacterium. RNAcentral describes it as "partial 16S ribosomal RNA". It matches the Rfam family "Bacterial small subunit ribosomal RNA", at positions 524 to 776 of the family's 1533-position model. The record is from RNAcentral.
UACGAAUGGGGCAAGCGUUGUUCGGAAUCACUGGGCGUAAAGCGUGCGUAGGCGGUUUGACAAGUCAGAAGUGAAAGCCCUGGGCUCAACCCAGGAACUGCUUUUGAAACUGUCAGACUAGUAUCUCGGAGAGGUUGGCGGAAUUCCCAGUGUAGAGGUGAAAUUCGCAGAUAUUGGGAGGAACACCAGUGGCGCAAGCGGCCAACUGGACGAGUAUAGACGCUGAGGCACGAAAGCGUGGGGAUCAAACAGG